AUGUAUGUGCGUGUGGUCGUCUGUGCGGGCCAUGCACUCUGGUCUGUACAUGCUCGCGCCACCACGCCGGUUGUAUACGUCCUGCUGUCUGCAUGUGCCAUGCACGUGGGUGUGCAUCUUCUGGAGCCACCCCGUCUGUCGUACACGCCGUGGUACCUGUAUGGGCCAUGCACGUGGGUGUGCAGUUGCUGGAGCCAUCCCGUCCGGUGUACACGCCAUGUUGCCUGCAUGGGCCAUGCAUACUGUCCUGUAGCUGUUAGCGGCACCUUCUUUACAUCCAUGCACAUGCACGUGCUUUUAUUGUUCGUGCUCUCUUCUUUACUCUUUUUCUGUUUCUUUAUUUGUGUUUUUUGUCUUGUGUUUAUUUGGUCAUAUAAUCUUGUUUGA
This 387-nucleotide ribosomal RNA is filed under the name Triticum aestivum (bread wheat). Its description in RNAcentral is "partial small subunit ribosomal RNA". The record is from RNAcentral. Lineage: Eukaryota; Viridiplantae; Streptophyta; Magnoliopsida; Poales; Poaceae.